CGUCCGCUCCUCCUAUCCUCUCCCAGGGCGGGAAAGGGACUGCAACAUACCCUUCCCACCUGAUGUGGAGUGUUGGAGGAGCAGAUCCGAAGGCGAGGAGCUUCUUCCUGCCUCUUAACAUACUUUAGAAUUCUUGAGCCCUGACAUGGAAGCAGCCUAAGUGUCCAUGGACAGAUGAAUGGAUAAAGAAGAUGUGGCACAUAUAUACAAUGGAAUAUUAUUCAGCCAUAGAAAGAAACGAAAUUGAGUUAUUUGUAGUGAGGUGGAUGGACCUAGAGACUGUCAUACAGAGCAAGGUAAGAAAAUACACCCAAGUUGCAGUCGGGUUUGAACAGUGAACACUGAAGAACUGGCGACUUCAUAGUAAUGUAAACUGCCCGACAUCUUUUAGGUGCAUAUUCAGUGCCUCUCAGUCGCCCCUGUAGGUGCUGACAAGUAUUGGAGUCUCUUACAAACGCUGGGACUGGGGAAAGCAGAUUCCCGAAGAGCAAGCGUGCAAACACCAAACAGAGCCCAGAGUUCUGAUGGACGGUGCUAACGGCGAUAGGAUGCUGCAUCCCACGAAUAUAAAGGAACUUGUCUACUUUUUCAGAUCUACAGUUUCUCUGGCACUUGCUUUGGACGGUGAUUGGACCCACGCAUACUUAAAAGAUAAAAACAGGUGAUCUCCAUGCCUAAUUACAAUAACUGAAGUAGCACCCCAAGGAAGUAGCUAUAAAGUGAACUUGAAAGUACUAAUUAAAAAAAUGCAUCUCAUCUGUAACUGGUUUGUUGAAAAGUCUAAAUUUAUUAGGGAUAGAAAGUGUUUUUUAACUUUUGUUGAAUCCCCUCUGCCCCCCGCCGCCCUUUUUUUUGGUUGUGGCUCUUUUCACGAAAUCUUGACCAAAUUCUAACUUUCUCAUCAGCUUUAGGGUUUAAGACCAAGCCCUGUUCAUUUAAAACACUUUAAACUUGAACUUGACUUAAAGCUUGGCUCUUCUCUCCUCCCCAACUCCAGUGGAGGCCAGGGCUGUGGGCCCAGCGUCUUGGAGGGGAGCAGGGGUUUGGUUCUGAGGUUCCUCCACACCCUGCCUCCACUAAUUCAAGCUCCUGGAGGGUUGGAGCCAGGCAGGAGGUGUGAGGGCUGGCUUUGGUCACUGUCACAUGUCAGAGUGGGCAGGGGCCCCUGCUACUGGGCUGCCACUCGUCUUCUCACCUCUAAGCUCCUUCACAUGCAAGCGGAGGGUGGCUGGAGCUUCCCCAUCUUCUCCCCAGGAGCAAGAAACCGGGGUGCCUUCGAGCUCUGUGGGAGGGGCUCCUCCCACCAGCAGGUUCCCCGGAAGCUAUGAAGAUGGUCAAUUCCUGUCCUCAAAGAGUUUAUGAUGAAGGGUAGGAAACAGAUUGGCAUGACUGCCUACUAAUAGUGCCUUCAGCUUCCAUCUGGGAGAAAGCAAGGACCCAGUCGUUCAAGACAGCAGGGAGUGGGAGGUGGAGACGCCCCCGGCGCAACUCUGACCCGGAUACAGCCCUGAUCCGAAUUGUUGCAAGUGAGGUUGAACUCAUUCCUUCCUGUUCCCCUAGUGUGACGCGGGGGUCACCCAGCUAGCAAUGGAAGUGACUCAGAAGCCUCCCAACUCACAAUGAUGCGUAAGUGGAGAGAACAUUCAUUGAACUGGAAGAGAGGUGCGUUCGAGAUAACAAAGCUCAUGGGUUGCUGUCUUGGAUUCUCUUAUAAUCCUCCCUCUUUCCCUGGAACUAGCCAUACUGGAGUUUAGCCCUGAGAUUAGUUCUGUUUUUCCCUCCUCAUUAUAUAUCACAAAUUCCCUCAAAAUUGUUUUCUGUUUGGGUCUUAAUAUAGAGUCAGGUAACUAACGUUUCCAUGUACCUUCUGGUUUAUGGAUAAACCAGCUCUUGAAAGCGGUAACCUGAGAGGAUGGUCCCUAAGAAGGGAAAUUAGUGGUGAGAAUUUCAGACUUGAGGCAGA
Molecule: long non-coding RNA, 1963 nt
Organism: Balaenoptera acutorostrata (minke whale)
Lineage: Eukaryota; Metazoa; Chordata; Mammalia; Artiodactyla; Balaenopteridae
Exons: 5
Source: RefSeq, a predicted model, not a curated record